GACGAACGCUGGCGGCAUGCCUAAUACAUGCAAGUCGAGCGAACAGAUGAAGUGCUUGCACUUCUGGCGUUAGCGGCGAACGGGUGAGUAACACGUAAGGAAUCUACCUAUAAGCGGGGGAUAACAUUCGGAAACGGGUGCUAAUACCGCAUAAUAUCUUCUUCCGCAUGGAAGAAGAUUGAAAGACGGCUCUGCUGUCACUUAUAGAUGACCUUGCGGUGCAUUAGUUAGUUGGUGGGGUAACGGCCUACCAAGACGAUGAUGCAUAGCCGACCUGAGAGGGUGAUCGGCCACAUUGGGACUGAGACACGGCCCAAACUCCUACGGGAGGCAGCAGUAGGGAAUCUUCCGCAAUGGGCGAAAGCCUGACGGAGCAACGCCGCGUGAGUGAAGAAGGCCUUCGGGUCGUAAAACUCUGUUAUAAGAGAAGAACAAAUUGUAGAGUAACUGCUACAGUCUUGACGGUAUCUUAUCAGAAAGCCACGGCUAACUACGUGCCAGCCGCCGCCGUAA
This 513-nucleotide ribosomal RNA is filed under the name uncultured bacterium. RNAcentral describes it as "partial 16S ribosomal RNA". It matches the Rfam family "Bacterial small subunit ribosomal RNA", at positions 28 to 523 of the family's 1533-position model. The record is from RNAcentral.